AAAAAAUCAUAUAAGUAUAUGAAAAAUGGACGAGAAGUUAACUGAAGAAAUCAUGAAGUGCUAUACAAUCACUCAUCAGCCGAGUACAGGGACCAGACGAUUCGGCAAGAAGCUUGGUAGACACUUAGACACACAAAUAACAGCGGACAACGCCAAGACAAAAUGGGACAAACUUAGACGAUGUUUCUGUAAUGCAAGAAAUAGACGCCUGUCUACACAAAGUGGCCAGGCUACCAAAAAAAUUACGCCAUGGAAAUUUGAACAGCAGAUAACAUUUUUGCUGCCGUAUUUAGAAGGUCGAAGGACGCGCGGCAAGUUGCAAGUCUCAAAAUGAACAUAAAAUUCGCAUUCCCGACGAAAGAGAAAUUAACGACGAUGAAGUUGACGCAGACGAACAGCAAAUACAAGAACGUAGUACAGACGCUGAAGAUAUAGCUGAUGAAGGGGACCAAGAACAUAUUGCAGUUAUACAACAACAAACACCUUCGCAAGACGAUAUAUUGCUCGCCGAAAAUACUAAAACAUUAGAGCACAUGAAGAGAAACAAAACGUGUUCACAAAAAAAAAUACUGCAGCCGAGAAAAUGGCGGCAAUAAUGGAACAAAAUGCUGCUCUCAGAAAAAGGAAAUUCGAAGAGAAAUUAACAGCGCAAAAUAAACAUACAUGUUUUGAAGAUAUGGACGAAACUGACAUAUUUUUCCUAAGUUUGGCGAGAAGUACGAAACAAUUACCAGAAGCCAAACAAGCUGCAGUUAAAAUAACAGUGAGCACUGCAAUCCUUCAAGCUGAAAUGAGAAGCGCACAAGCACAAAGUGCUCCAAUACCUGCACCAUCUUCGUCAUAUAUGCUUUGCAACCAUUGUUUUCACCUCACGACAAUUCUAGCCAGUCUACGUCAUCAUCUGAAACCGUCAUAUCAACGUCACCUCAUGAAUAUUCUAGACCAUCAUCAGAAUCCUCUAACACGCAAUCGGCUCUCCCGCCGCAGGAGUAUGGUAAAGCUGGACAUGGGCAAUUUACAAAUGUUUCACAAACAAGCAACUACCCUACAGCAGAGACAACUCGCGAGGAAUGGAGACCGACGUUACUAGAUAUGAACUCUGUGUCUCUGGUCGACUUAGCUUAAUAUCAUUAAACUUUUCUAUUGUUAUUCAACGUGUGUAGCGAUACUUUUUGCAAAAUAAAAUAUUUAUUUCAA
Molecule: long non-coding RNA, 1197 nt
Filed under: Anthonomus grandis grandis
Lineage: Eukaryota; Metazoa; Arthropoda; Insecta; Coleoptera; Curculionidae
Description: uncharacterized LOC126736265
Source: RNAcentral